AGGCAUUCUCGAGGGUAGGGUUUUCGACCCACGCUUUAGUAUUCUGCACGAAUUCGUCGUUAUAAAGUGGCGUUCCCUGUGUUCUGAUGGAUGCCUGAUUCCAAACCAGCGCAUAUUCAUAUGGAUUUUCCAUUACCUCCAUGUUCAGGAUCGGCUUUGCCAAAGAGUAUUGCGUAUUUAAGUCGAUGCGCAUCUUUCCCUUUUGUGCAUCCUUGGUUUCAAUCAAAAUAACACCAAAGGCGGCCCUUCCUCCAUAAAUCGCUGCUGCGGAAGCAUCCUUCAAGACACUGACACUUUUGAUGUCC
RNAcentral lists this unclassified non-coding RNA (305 nucleotides) under uncultured bacterium. Its description in RNAcentral is "contains 16S-23S intergenic spacer region". The record is from RNAcentral.